GCCCUGGUAUUCCAAUCGGUAGAGAAAGCGGUCUCAAAAUCCGUACAGUGUGGGUUCGAGUCCCACCCAGGGCA
This 74-nucleotide transfer RNA is filed under the name Propionibacteriales bacterium. RNAcentral's name for it is "tRNA-Leu". It matches the Rfam family "tRNA". Rfam says of the family: Transfer RNA (tRNA) molecules are approximately 80 nucleotides in length. Their secondary structure includes four short double-helical elements and three loops (D, anti-codon, and T loops). Further hydrogen bonds mediate the characteristic L-shaped molecular structure. tRNAs have two regions of fundamental functional importance: the anti-codon, which is responsible for specific mRNA codon recognition, and the 3' end, to which the tRNAs corresponding amino acid is attached (by aminoacyl-tRNA synthetases). tRNAs cope with the degeneracy of the genetic code in two manners: having more than one tRNA (with a specific anti-codon) for a particular amino acid; and 'wobble' base-pairing, i.e. permitting non-standard base-pairing at the 3rd anti-codon position. The record is from RNAcentral. Lineage: Bacteria; Bacillati; Actinomycetota; Actinomycetes; Propionibacteriales.